GAAUAUUGCACAAUGGGGGAAACCCUGAUGCAGCCAUGCCGCGUGUGUGAAGAAGGCCUUCGGGUUGGAAAGCACUUUAAGCAGUGAGGAAGGGUUGAACGCUAAUACCGUUCAACAUUGACGUUAGCUGCAGAAUAGGCACCGGCUAACCCCGUGCACGCAGCCGCUGUAAUACGGAGGGUGCGAGCGUUAAUCGGAAUUACUGGGCGUAAAGCGCGCGUAGGCGGUAAUCCAAGCUGGGUGUGAAAGCCCCGGGCUCAACCUGGGAAUUGCAUUCAGAACUGGAUUGCUAGAGUACAGAAGAGGGGUGUGGAAUUUCCGGUGUAGCGGUGAAAUGCGUAGAGAUCGGAAGGAACAUCAGUGGCGAAGGCGACACCCUGGUCUGAUACUGACGCUGAGGUGCGAAAGCGUGGGUAGCAAACAGG
This 425-nucleotide ribosomal RNA is filed under the name uncultured bacterium. RNAcentral describes it as "bacterial SSU rRNA". It matches the Rfam family "Bacterial small subunit ribosomal RNA", at positions 359 to 776 of the family's 1533-position model. The record is from RNAcentral.